UAAACCUGCCUCUUAGCGGGGGGUAACUAUUGGAAACGAUAGCUAAUACCGCAUAAAAGUCGACAUCGCAUGAUGUUGACUUGAAAGGUGCAAUUGCAUCACUAAGAGAUGGACCUGCGUUGUAUUAGCUAGUUGGUGAGGUAACGGCUCACCAAGGCGACGAUACAUAGCCGACCUGAGAGGGUGAUCGGCCACACUGGGACUGAGACACGGCCCAG
Molecule: ribosomal RNA, 218 nt
Filed under: uncultured bacterium
Lineage: Bacteria
Description: partial 16S ribosomal RNA
Rfam family: Bacterial small subunit ribosomal RNA
Source: RNAcentral